GUGGGUGUAGCUCAGUUGGUAGAGCAUCAGAUUGUGGCUCUGGGGGCCGAGGGUUCAAAUCCCUCCACUCACCCCA
This 76-nucleotide transfer RNA is filed under the name candidate division TM6 bacterium RIFCSPHIGHO2_12_FULL_36_22. RNAcentral describes it as "tRNA-His". It matches the Rfam family "tRNA". Rfam says of the family: Transfer RNA (tRNA) molecules are approximately 80 nucleotides in length. The record is from RNAcentral.